UGCAGGUGGGGGAGGGCCGGGCCGGUCAUCCUCUGCCCUCCCCUCUCCCCACUUGGAAGGUUCCAGAACCAAGGACUCGGGACCCACUUGUUAAAAUAGACACUCACAACUGUGUUGCUAAGAAGCGUCCACGGCACCGUGAAUGUGCGGGUGUGAGUGCUUCCGGCAAGGACCACAGAUGUGGCCGCAGGACAAAAAUGAGGGAGGGGACCCGAUGUGACAGCUGCACCUGCCCCUGGGGGCACACGCUUGGUCUCCCUGCUGCAGCGCCCUUGCCCUGGUGGGCGCCCUGCGGGAGGCGGCUCCUCCACAACAGCGUGGGCUCAGGGGGCCACCAGACAGUCGGUGGCACUGAGGAACAGGCAGCUGCAGGGCCCCGGCGAGGAGGCCGGUUUGACAGGGACAUGUCGUGAGGGGAUACCGCCUGGCCCUCAGGCCAGGGUCCUUUUGCACAGGCUUCCCUACUAAACUACCCGGAUGGAAGCAGAACUUUUUAAAAAGAUCAGGACCUGGAGAGGUAUUCCAAGUUCAUCCUUCUCAAAUGUCACAAAAGAACAGUAGCCAUCGGUGGAAGAAAUGGCCAGGAAGGCGCCGUCGCUGGACCUUUGUUCCCCAAACAGGAGGAAAGCCCCCAGCUCGACUUUCUCAGGCACUGGCACGUCUCGGGACUGUCCUCAAAGUCACCAAAUUGAAGGUCACAAUCUUAGGAUCCUUGGAUCAAGGCCUGCACCAGGCUCCGUGCUCAGCAGGGAAUCUGCUUGAGAUUCUCCCUCUCUCUCUGCCACUCCCCCCACCUGUGCUCGCACACAUUCUCUCAA
Molecule: long non-coding RNA, 818 nt
Organism: Canis lupus familiaris (dog)
Lineage: Eukaryota; Metazoa; Chordata; Mammalia; Carnivora; Canidae
Exons: 4
Source: RefSeq, a predicted model, not a curated record